CACAAGUCAGUCUCAGUUUGAUGCCAGAUGCAAGCAGAUGGAGACACAGCUGGCAGCUCUUGUCUUUCUACUCUCUACCGCAGUUCCAAGCGAUGCACUCUGCUGGACACCUCCCAGUCCUCAACUCCAAUGAACAAGAUACCAGUUCUGAUCCACUGACUGUCUCCUGUCACACUCUCCCUUGGAGGCAACUGGCUUAGUGUUUACUGUGACCUUAUCUCUAACUCCAUCUGUGGGGAUGCCUUCGCCUUCCGCUAGUGACACAGCGCCAAAUAAUCUAAAGAGAAACUUUCUGUUUCACAAAAGGUUCUAUAUGGCGAAAGAAGUUCUUCAGAUUAUAGAAAG
Long non-coding RNA from Carassius carassius (crucian carp), 345 nucleotides. RefSeq lists it as uncharacterized. Lineage: Eukaryota; Metazoa; Chordata; Actinopteri; Cypriniformes; Cyprinidae. The record is from RefSeq and is a predicted model, not a curated record. The transcript has 3 exons.